AGAGUUUGAUCCUGGCUCAGGAUGAACACUGGCGGCGUGCCUAAUACAUGCAAGUCGAGCGAACGGACGAGAAGCUUGCUUCUCUGAUGUUAGCGGCGGACGGGUGAGUAACACGUGGAUAACCUACCUAUAAGACUGGGAUAACUUCGGGAAACCGGAGCUAAUACCGGAUAAUAUUUUGAACCGCAUGGUUCAAAAGUGAAAGACGGUCUUGCUGUCACUUAUAGAUGGAUCCGCGCUGCAUUAGCUAGUUGGUAAGGUAACGGCUUACCAAGGCAACGAUGCAUAGCCGACCUGAGAGGGUGAUCGGCCACACUGGAACUGAGACACGGUCCAGACUCCUACGGGAGGCAGCAGUAGGGAAUCUUCCGCAAUGGGCGAAAGCCUGACGGAGCAACGCCGCGUGAGUGAUGAAGGUCUUCGGAUCGUAAAACUCUGUUAUUAGGGAAGAACAUAUGUGUAAGUAACUGUGCACAUCUUGACGGUACCUAAUCAGAAAGCCACGGCUAACUACGUGCCAGCAGCCGCGGUAAUACGUAGGUGGCAAGCGUUAUCCGGAAUUAUUGGGCGUAAAGCGCGCGUAGGCGGUUUUUUAAGUCUGAUGUGAAAGCCCACGGCUCAACCGUGGAGGGUCAUUGGAAACUGGAAAACUUGAGUGCAGAAGAGGAAAGUGGAAUUCCAUGUGUAGCGGUGAAAUGCGCAGAGAUAUGGAGGAACACCAGUGGCGAAGGCGACUUUCUGGUCUGUAACUGACGCUGAUGUGCGAAAGCGUGGGGAUCAAACAGGAUUAGAUACCCUGGUAGUCCACGCCGUAAACGAUGAGUGCUAAGUGUUAGGGGGUUUCCGCCCCUUAGUGCUGCAGCUAACGCAUUAAGCACUCCGCCUGGGGAGUACGACCGCAAGGUUGAAACUCAAAGGAAUUGACGGGGACCCGCACAAGCGGUGGAGCAUGUGGUUUAAUUCGAAGCAACGCGAAGAACCUUACCAAAUCUUGACAUCCUUUGACAACUCUAGAGAUAGAGC
This 1023-nucleotide ribosomal RNA is filed under the name Staphylococcus aureus M1090. RNAcentral's name for it is "bacterial SSU rRNA". It matches the Rfam family "Bacterial small subunit ribosomal RNA", at positions 8 to 1012 of the family's 1533-position model. The record is from RNAcentral. Lineage: Bacteria; Bacillati; Bacillota; Bacilli; Caryophanales; Staphylococcaceae.